Molecule: ribosomal RNA, 1248 nt
Filed under: Enterococcus innesii
Lineage: Bacteria; Bacillati; Bacillota; Bacilli; Lactobacillales; Enterococcaceae
Description: bacterial SSU rRNA
Rfam family: Bacterial small subunit ribosomal RNA
Source: RNAcentral
GAUCUCCACCAUAUAUUCCCGGUCACCUGUGAACAGAAUAGUGUUUGAAGGCGCGCUUUGCGUUCACUGUAUUAGGAUGAACCGGCGUGUGCAUAGCUCUAGUUGGGUGAGGGUACGGGCUCACCAAGGCAACGAAUGGCAUAGCGGACUUGAGGAGGGGUGAUUCGGUCACACUGGGGACUGAGACACGGGCCCAGACUUCUUAACGGGAGGCAGCAGUAGGGAUUCUUCGGCAAUGGACGAAAGUUCCUGACCGAGCAACGCCGCGUGAGUGAAGAAGGGUUUUCGGAUCGUAAAACUUCUGUUGUUAGAGAAGAACAAGGAUGAGUGUAAUAAUGUUGACCCCUUGACGGUAUCUAACCAGAAAGCCACGGCUAACUACGUGCCAGCAGCCGCGGUAAUACGUAGGUGGCAAGCGUUGUCCGGAUUUAUUGGGCGUAAAGCGAGCGCAGGCGGUUUCUUAAGUCUGAUGUGAAAGCCCCCGGCUCAACCGGGGAGGGUCAUUGGAAACUGGGAGACUUGAGUGCAGAAGAGGAGAGUGGAAUUCCAUGUGUAGCGGUGAAAUGCGUAGAUAUAUGGAGGAACACCAGUGGCGAAGGCGGCUCUCUGGUCUGUAACUGACGCUGAGGCUCGAAAGCGUGGGGAGCGAACAGGAUUAGAUACCCUGGUAGUCCACGCCGUAAACGAUGAGUGCUAAGUGUUGGAGGGUUUCCGCCCUUCAGUGCUGCAGCAAACGCAUUAAGCACUCCGCCUGGGGAGUACGACCGCAAGGUUGAAACUCAAAGGAAUUGACGGGGGCCCGCACAAGCGGUGGAGCAUGUGGUUUAAUUCGAAGCAACGCGAAGAACCUUACCAGGUCUUGACAUCCUUUGACCACUCUAGAGAUAGAGCUUCCCCUUCGGGGGCAAAGUGACAGGUGGUGCAUGGUUGUCGUCAGCUCGUGUCGUGAGAUGUUGGGUUAAGUCCCGCAACGAGCGCAACCCUUAUUGUUAGUUGCCAUCAUUUAGUUGGGCACUCUAGCGAGACUGCCGGUGACAAACCGGAGGAAGGUGGGGAUGACGUCAAAUCAUCAUGCCCCUUAUGACCUGGGCUACACACGUGCUACAAUGGGAAGUACAACGAGUUGCGAAGUCGCGAGGCUAAGCUAAUCUCUUAAAGCUUCUCUCAGUUCGGAUUGUAGGCUGCAACUCGCCUACAUGAAGCCGGAAUCGCUAGUAAUCGCGGAUCAGCACGCCGCCGGAUUUCCGC